Molecule: long non-coding RNA, 2015 nt
Organism: Dendrobium catenatum
Lineage: Eukaryota; Viridiplantae; Streptophyta; Magnoliopsida; Asparagales; Orchidaceae
Exons: 2
Source: RefSeq, a predicted model, not a curated record
UUAGAUUUUUUACCCGGUGAUUUUAAAACUACAAUGAUUUUUGUUUACUCAUAAAUUUAUUUUGAUGUUUAAAAAUAGUGAUUUAGUUCAACUAAAAAUUUAGAAUAUUAUUUUAUACAAUAUUUAAUAAUUUGGUUAAAUUCUAAAAAUGUAAAUUUUUGCUCAGUAUGAUUUUUGUUGUCUAUCGUUAGGACAUUUUUGACAUUUUUUGAAUUAUGCUUAAUUAUGUAUUAUUUUGCUGCAAUAUAUUAGAAAUGAAUGUGGAUAUGUGAUUAAGAUUACUGUUAUAACUGUGAUUAUAAUGUGUGUGUAAAAGACAAGUAAAUACUGGUUGAUCCGUUGGUUGGAACUAAUUGACAUGUACAUGAUGAUCUUUAUACCCUUUUUUUAUUCUAUUCUUUUAAAAUAUUUCUUUGCCUUUAUAAUCUUUUGUACCUUUAAACUCCACAAACAUUUCUCUUUAUUUAUGUACAUAUUAUUGUAAACUUUCUAAAAUUUUAAUGAAAAUCUUAUUAAGACAUAAAAUCAUUUUAUUUUACAUAAAAUUUGGUUUAAUUUUAUUUUGUUCUAUUCAUCUCUCUUAAGAAUCUAUCUUGAAAGAUUUGUAAUUUUUCAUCUUUCAUGUUUCAUCAUCUAUCUCAGUUUAUUGUUUUCUUUUUAACUUAAUAUACAUCUACAACUAUUAAUCUGAAGUAUGUGAUUUAAUUAUCUUUUGGAAUCACCUCAUGUUCAUAGCUCAAAAUUUCCUUGAUGUUGGUAAAAAGGACUUCAAUGUAGCAAGCAAGAAUAUCAUAUUCAUAAAAUUAGCAAACUAUGACAGUUAGCUUGUUUUGCAUCUGAAGAAAAUACAAAUGAGAAGAUGAACUAUACCUCAGGGAUAAAAAAUUUUCCUGUUAGAAGACAGAAGGCAGGCAAAAUGCAGUAAGUAAUCAAGGGAAGAGCAGUCCAAGCAUGUAUAGUCAAACUUAUGUAGGAUAAUCGCUGCAGACACUUCAUACCACCUCCAUAGCUAUACCAAAUAGGACAAUGCUUGCUGAGAAAAAUCUCAACUGAUCCCUGCGCCUGCUGAAGAACUAGAUGAAGAUAAUCUGAAAGAUCUGUUGGAAUAGAACUCUUAAAUGCUGUUCUUCUUGGCAUGCAGUAAACAGAUCGCCAACCAUGGCAAUGCAUCUUGAAGACAGUGACCACAUCCUCGGCUGCUGAUCCAUAAAUCCAGCCCACCUGCACAAAAAAAAAAAGAAACCUUAAAGAGACGGGGGACUUGGAAAAUACAUCACCAGAGCAUUCAUGGCACCAGCCUUUUUAUGGUGAUUAAAUCCUGGUCUUUUUUCACGAGAUACAUAAACUAAACGUGGUAGCUUAUCUCCAUUUGCAUCCAAUGAAUCGCCAUGACCCAGAAAUACCUGCUCAAGCAUAUGCAUUACGAACAUAAAAAAAACAACUUUUGAAGGUAAGAUUCAAAUAUGGUAUUUAUUAAAGUUAUUUCAUGGGAGAAAGUCUAAUUUAUUACUACCCCUCCAAGAACAUGACAUUAAUGUUGUUAGUUUAGUGUGGAAUAUGAUUGUGUCGAUCAAUUGUGUUGUACUGCUGUUUUGGGCCUCAAUUCUAUCGGUUGAGCUCGCUGGGUCCUCCCCUUGUUUGAGUUUGGGUGCUUGGACCAAAGAAUUUUUUCCCUGUACAACCGUACAACACUAUGGCGUUGUGUACCUGAGUGUUGUGGCGAUGUAUAGUUUGCUUUUUAGACAGAUAGAGAGAUGAGCACUAUGGUGCUCCAAAUGUUGGCGCUGCGGCGUUAUCAGGCAAACUGGAGAAGGAGAGUUGAGCGCUGUAGCGCUCCAAACGUGGAGCCGUGGCUCUGGGAGACGGGCUGAUAGUUUUCUUUCUCGAUUUUAUUAAGGAUUGCAUCCCUUGGUGGUUUUUAUAUGUUUAUCUUUGUUUGUUUGUAAAAGAAUGGUACAGGGGUAAAGAGAAAUAUGGAGAGAUCUAUUCUAUUUCUCCUAAAUUUUCAUAGUGAA